This is a long non-coding RNA of Eriocheir sinensis (Chinese mitten crab), 992 nucleotides long. RefSeq lists it as uncharacterized. The record is from RefSeq and is a predicted model, not a curated record. Lineage: Eukaryota; Metazoa; Arthropoda; Malacostraca; Decapoda; Varunidae. The transcript is spliced from 2 exons.
GGGCUUCGUGGUGCAGUGGUUAGCACACUCAGCUCACAACCGAGAGAGCCCGGGUUCGAUUCCCCGGCGGAGUGGAAAAAUUUGGGCGGCUUUUCCGAUACCCUACGCCCCUGUCCACCCAGCAGUGAAUGGGUACCAGGUAUUAAUCGGGGGUUGUGUCCCGUCUCCUGGGGUCUGUUCCCUUCUCCUAUAAUUCCUUCCCCUUCUGUCUCUCUCCGGCAUAUGACCACAGAUGUUGCACCGACUAAACGAAACUUUCCAACUUUUCUUCUUAAAAAAAAAAGAACCAACUGUUACCUUACACUUAUGACUCAAGACCGUUUACUUACAGCGGUGACUUAUGGGGCACACAACUUCAGUCACUCAAUUUGACCAACUUCUGAUGAAAGACAAAACUUAUUUUUCCCCGCUGCCUCGGACUAAUAUAAUGGUGGCUUAUUGGGUAACGCUGCGUCUUGAUUUCCCAGAGGCAUCAGCUUCCGAGUGUUCCAGGCUGUGGCGGGAUGAGAAGCUCCCAGCCAGCCAACUCGUCUUGCCAUCCACCGCUGAAGGAUUAGCCGUCGCUGUCUGCGUGUGUUGUGCAGCGCCGGAGAAAGACAAGCGUGAUAACCUGGGCGAGGCAGUAGCUGGGCGUCCCCUGAGAGUGGCGUGACAUCCCUCAAAGCGCCCGGCGGGGGAGGAAAACGGAGAACCGAAGUCUAUAUAUAUACCAAGUCAAGUCACUCUGCUUCAAAACCGGUACGCGCAGGAGGCGGUUUUGGGGCGGAGCAGCGGGAUGACGUCACUUGGAGCCAAAAAAAAAUACCCGCCAGUUCAGGGGUGACUAAAGUUGGGGCCGUGUGUGCACUCUGGAUGUGCAUUCUCGCCUCCUUUCACAGCGCGUUCAGGCAAGCCACUGACGAAAAAAAUAUGUCUUUUUAUUGUGCUAUUGCGUGACUGUAAUUCCAAUGCCUACAAACGGCGGUGUGGGGUGUGAGGGAGGGCAUGUUGAA